UGGGGAAUCUUGCGCAAUGGGCGAAAGCCUGACGCAGCGACGCCGCGUGCGGGAUGACGGCCUGGUUGUAACCGCUUUCAGCAGGGACGAGGCCGCAAGGUGACGGUACCUGCAGAAGAAGCCCCGGCUAACUACGUGCCAGCAGCGCGGUAAUCGCUCACU
This 162-nucleotide ribosomal RNA is filed under the name uncultured bacterium. RNAcentral's name for it is "partial 16S ribosomal RNA". It matches the Rfam family "Bacterial small subunit ribosomal RNA", at positions 355 to 529 of the family's 1533-position model. The record is from RNAcentral.